GGGUGCAGCAGGCGCGAAACCUUUACAAUGCUGGCAACAGCGAUAAGGGGACCUCGAGUGCCACGAUACAAUCGUGGCNGUCUAGUUGCCUAAAAAGCAAUUGAUAGCAAGGGCCGGGCAAGACCGGUGCCAGCCGCCGCGGUAACACCGGCGGCUCGAGUGGUAACCGCUAUUAUUUGGUCUAAAGGGUCUGUAGCCGGCUUAGUCAGUCUUUUGAGAAAUCUGGCCGCUCAACGGUCAGGCGUUCAGGGGAUACUGCUAAAGCUCGAGACCGGGAGAGGUGAGAGGUACUUCAGGGGUAGGGGUGAAAUCUUGUAAUCCUUGAAGGACCACCAGUGGCGAAGGCGUCUCACCAGAACGGAUCUGACGGCAAGGGACGAAAGCUAGGGGCACGAACCGGAUUAGAUACCCGGGUAGUCCUAGCCGUAAACGAUACUCGCUAGGUGUCGGCCACGGUGCGACCGUGGUCGGUGCCGUAGGGAAGCCGUGAAGCGAGCCACCUGGGAAGUACGGCCGCAAGGCUGAAACUUAAAGGAAUUGGCGGGGGAGCACAAGGGCGAAUUCGCG
Molecule: ribosomal RNA, 567 nt
Filed under: uncultured archaeon
Lineage: Archaea
Description: bacterial SSU rRNA
Rfam family: Archaeal small subunit ribosomal RNA
Source: RNAcentral